UACGUAGGGGGCAAGCGUUAUCCGGAUUUACUGGGUGUAAAGGGGGCGCAGACGGCGAUGCAAGCCAGGAGUGAAAGCCCGGGGCCCAACCCCGGGACUGCUCUUGGGACUGCGUGGCUGGAGUGCAGGAGGGGCAGGCGGAAUUCCUGGUGUAGCGGUGAAAUGCGUAGAUAUCAGGAGGAACACCGGUGGCGAAGGCGGCCUGCUGGACUGCAACUGACGUUGAGGCCCGAAAGCGUGGGGAGCAAACAGG
RNAcentral lists this ribosomal RNA (253 nucleotides) under uncultured bacterium. RNAcentral's name for it is "partial 16S ribosomal RNA". It matches the Rfam family "Bacterial small subunit ribosomal RNA", at positions 524 to 776 of the family's 1533-position model. The record is from RNAcentral.